RNAcentral lists this ribosomal RNA (253 nucleotides) under uncultured bacterium. Its description in RNAcentral is "partial 16S ribosomal RNA". It matches the Rfam family "Bacterial small subunit ribosomal RNA", at positions 524 to 776 of the family's 1533-position model. The record is from RNAcentral.
UACGUAGGGUGCAAGCGUUAAUCGGAAUUACUGGGCGUAAAGCGUGCGCAGGCGGUUGUGCAAGACAGAUGUGAAAUCCCCGGGCCUAACCUGGGAAUUGCAUUUGUGACUGCACGGCUAGAGUGUGUCAGAGGGGGGUAGAAUUCCACGUGUAGCAGUGAAAUGCGUAGAUAUGUGGAGGAAUACCGAUGGCGAAGGCAGCCCCCUGGGAUAACACUGACGCUCAUGCACGAAAGCGUGGGGAGCAAACAGG